CGCACUCUUCGGAGUGAGUGGCAGACGGGUGAGUAACGCGUGGGAAUCUACCCAGUUCUACGGAACAACACAGGGAAACUUGUGCUAAUACCGUAUACGCCCCAAGGGGGAAAGAUUUAUCGGAAUUGGAUGAGCCCGCGUAAGAUUAGCUAGUUGGUGGGGUAAUGGCCUACCAAGGCGACGAUCUUUAGCUGGUCUGAGAGGAUGAUCAGCCACACUGGGACUGAGACACGGCCCAGACUCCUACGGGAGGCAGCAGUGGGGAAUAUUGGACAAUGGGCGAAAGCCUGAUCCAGCCAUGCCGCGUGAGUGAUGAAGGCCUUAGGGUUGUAAAGCACUUUCAGUUGUGAGGAAAGGUUAACGGUUAAUACCCGUUAGCUGUGACGUUAGCAACAGAAGAAGGACCGGCUAACUCCGUGCCAGCAGCCGCGGUAAUACGGAGGGUCCGAGCGUUAAUCGGAAUUACUGGGCGUAAAGCGCACGCAGGCGGUUUGUUAAGCUAGAUGUGAAAGCCCUGGGCUCAACCUGGGAAUUGCAUUUAGAACUGGCAGGCUAGAGUUUUGGAGAGGGGAGUGGAAUUCCAGGUGUAGCGGUGAAAUGCGUAGAUAUCUG
This 612-nucleotide ribosomal RNA is filed under the name uncultured bacterium. Its description in RNAcentral is "bacterial SSU rRNA". It matches the Rfam family "Bacterial small subunit ribosomal RNA", at positions 67 to 700 of the family's 1533-position model. The record is from RNAcentral.